AGUCGCGCAGGACGUCGCCCAGGCGCCGCAGCGCCUCCGCCGCCUCCCCGCGGGGCCGGCCCGCGCUGUAGAGCAGCCCGCGGGCCCGCCGCAGCAGCGGCAGCACGCAGUCCUCCACCUCGCCGCUCAGCGCCAAGGAACUGGCUUGUGCCUGGGGUAAGAGGUACAGAGACAUCCUGACAUCCCUGUGACCAUGAUUUCACCAAGCUGAUGCACUGCGAGGUUAUCAUCAUCUAAAUCUCUGCUCCUGGAAAGAGAAUUCUCUGUUUGAGAUGAAUAAUAGGUUGAAUAUGGUAUGUGACGGCUCUGUAGACUCCGAAGAUAUAACAUGAAGAAAGAUAUUGUUCUGGAAAGCUGGCAUAAGAAUGCUACUGAGGAUUUAGAAGGGUGCUGCGCACCAGACAGGGAAUCAUUCAGAAGACUUUGACCUGGCACGACACUUCACUCCAAACCUGCCAGCAAUCACGGCAGCCUGCCCUGAGUCAGGCUCACGGCUCGAGCGGUGCUGCCGCCUCUCGAGCAUCCUGCGCUGCCUCAGCCGUGCCCACCCGUGACCCCUGCGGAGAAGCACACACUGAGUGGUUCUUCCUGGGGCUGUCCACCAUCCCACGAAAAGCAGUGUUCCCAGGGGAGAGCAAAGCAGCAUCAGCCAGCAGAACCCUUCAGGAGGUCUGGUGAUGAUUGCUUGCCAAGGGACGUGUCUAUGGGGAUGUGAGGAAGAUGGUGCAGUCAGAGGUUGCACAAGUUGCUACCACACACCAGGCUCAACUCUCUGGGCUGUUGCUCCCCUGUUUGGCUGAGCUGCCCAUGCUGCGGGGCAGGACGGUUCCCUGCACAGCCCAGCAUCGCGCCAGCAUUUGCCUAAUAGGCGCCUCAGAGAUGCACCCUGGGAGCCGUGCCGCCUUCCUGAGCAGCAGCUGCUUCUCCCCAGUGAAGAGAGCAGAAGCCAUCAAUUCUUCCUCCUGGCUGACCCUGAAUUGCUCACGCUGCAGGCAGGCCAGGCAGCAUCUGUCUGGGACACCCCUGGUGGGGAUGAAGGUCAGUGGAGAUCCUGGGCUGGUUUGGUCUGACAGGUUUGCCUUUAAAAAUGCACACCGCCGAGGGCAUGCCAGGAGGGGAUGUGCGGAUCUUAUAGGUCUGACAUCUGAAAUAACUCGCCAUUAGCCUUAGAAACACUCCGGCACAGGUGUUGGCGUGGCCCCCCCGGCACGGCUGCCUGCUCCCCCCACAGCUGUACGAUUCAUGAGCUUUCACAUCUCUGUCAUUAGCCCGUUAAUCCAACACCUUGCCCAGCCUCGCAUCGUGGUGAGGAUUUAUGGUUCUCACAGACCAAUUUCAUUAUCCCAGGGGGAAAAUCAGCAUCUUGUUAUGGAUAAAAUGACAAUAAAUGAAACGGCCAUUAAUUUACGAUCUUGCCACACAGUGGCACUCAAACAGAUUCCUAUUAAUGGCUUGUUAUUAUCACCUCCCAUACUGGGCUAAUAACAGUUCAUGGGAAAAACUGCACCUGAGCCCAGGGAAGGUGCUGGCUGCUGGAGCGUGCAGGACCCCUGUCCCCGUCCCAUGGUGGCAGGCUGACUCCUGUCCCCAUGCCGUGGUGGCAAUGGAGUGGAGCAGCUGCCCCGCAGCAGCGAUUGAUCAGCUGGGAGUGGAGGCUGCUGCACAAAAUGGGGAGGAACAGCUGCCAGCUGGGAGAGCUUCUGGGGAGGGUAUAAAAAGCUGAUUUUUCUGUUUGCUUGCGGCUCAAAAAGCCCAGAAACAUUGGCUUGGCAUUAAAGAACUUCUCAAAAACUUCAGCACAGCAAAAAGCACUGUAAAACAUGAAACAAAGACUAACCUUUCUAUGUGGUCAAAGAACUUAAUUUGGUUCAAGAAAGACAGAUUGUACUUUUUAAGAACAUUAAAUGGCGUCAGAUGCAAAAGCCCCGAAACUUCUGCGUAAAAUACUGUCCUUUUUAAAGUGAAAUAAAUUGGCAAAACCAAACUCAAUCCGAGAGAAGUUUCAGUGUCAUAAAAUUUGCUUCUUUGCCAUAAUAUGUUUCAUCUGAAGAGCCUCUCCUGGCUGCUUUCUCACGCCUGGGUGGGUCCUGCACUCAGAGCUUGCCGAGGGUCCCCAGCCGGGACACGAUGCUGGAGAUGCUCACAGCUCCCCCGUGCUGCCCUCGCACCUCUGAACGCUGCUGCAGCCCUGGGCCUGUGCUGGGGAUGGGGGUCCAAGGGUGCGUGGUGGGGGACGGGAGAGCCCCGUGUGGCGGGGCUGAGGGCAGCGCGGCUUCGGUAACCGCGCUCUCAACAGCCCAACCCGCUGCUUCUGCUCAGGGUACAUUUUGUCUAAUGUGUGCUUUGCUAAACACAUUUUUUCGCGUGACAAGUGAACAUGCUAGGAAUUGGUCUUCAUAAACACAUUUUUACAGUAAUAUAACAGUAUAAAUAAAUGCUCCAGCAUAUCUCCCAGUGUCACUUUUAUUUACAUUUUAAGUGACCUGUUAUUACUGACCCCUCUGCCAUAAACACCUAAUAGAGAGGAGACCACUGGGCAAACAAGGCCGAUGUGGAAGUGCAUUAUGCUAAAUAAUUCAUAACAAGCACCGUGGUUGUUGCAGUGAUAUAUGUAAAUAGAGGAUCCUUAUUUUUCAACUUACAAUCUGUGUUGGUUUAUGAAUUUUAAAAGGAGAAAGUCUUCAUUUGCUAGUGCAGAACUGAAGAGUGUUUCUUGUUCCCUGAAGUCCCAUAUCCAGUAGCCAGCUUCACAGGACCGACUGUGAUGGGAAGAAUGUGCUCAUGGACCUCUUUCUGCAUUAGCACGUUUUAAAUCUGUUUAUUCACAUGUUCUGUGUGUGGCUUGGUGACAGUCCCUGUGGGUGCCACCUGCAGACCCAGAGGAUGGAAACUGGCACCAGGGGUGGGGUGCGCGGGGCAGCAAAGGCGGUUUGUGGCGUGGAGGAGCCGUGCGGGACAGCCGGUGGGAGGAAACACAGAGCUGCUGCGUGGGGCAACAGCAGGAGGAACUCAGAGAAGAAUUUGCCUUUGUUUUAGCUGUUCUUAAUGGCACCUGCAAGUUUUCCUGGGGUUCAGGUUCCACUCAGUCAGGUCUCUGUGCUCCCUGCAAGCACGGCAAUGAAAUUCAGGUGAUGAUCAGGGCGCGCAUCACUUCGAUACAGCAAAAGUGUUAACAAAGUCAUUAGUGUGUGACCCGAGUGUGCAGCGUGGCCUCUGCAGCUGCUGCUGGGCUCCUUGAUGGGGCGGCAGCUGGAGCAGACACAGUUCUGCAGCUGCAGCCCAUCAGGUCAUGGAGCUGUAGGGCUCGGCUUUAAAAGGGGAGGGACACCCCUCAUCUCAGUGCUGUUACUGGGCUGCUGCUGGGCUUACUGAGCUGCUUCUGGGCUGUUACUGGGCUUACUGAACUGCUGCUGGGCUUCCCCCUGCUCACCCUGGUGGCCAGCGGCGCUGGACACUUGCUUGCCAGGUGUCUUCUUGAGCCUUUCAACUGUGUUUUGUGGCUCUUGUUGCCUCUCUACAACUUCCAUACGUCAUUGCGGCGUGGGAGAGGAACCGAUGUGAUAUUCCCACCACACCUCCCCAAAGCUGUGUGCAGAAGUCCUCCUGGCUGCUCCUGACUGGCGCCGCUGCACGUCAGCCCUUUGGCCACCAGCUCAUGCUGGGGCCUCACUCCGUGUUGAUUGUCAGUGCAUCUCGAGUCUCUGCAAGUGGAUCUCCUCUGGGAUCCGGCUGCUGCCUCCACAGCUCGCACACACACUGGACAGUCCCAGCUGGGGCAGCGCUGCUGUGGUGUCACUGCCCGAAUGCCAGGGGUGCCCUGACCCCCGCCUGCCUCGCCAGCAGCCCUGCCGAGCUCACAGGCUGUGCCAGCCCCGAGGAACCAGCCCCCGAGCCGCUGGCACAGCCACGCCGGCACUGUUUGCGGGGGCUCACGGCACGCGGCGCCGCUUGGCUUCGCCGGCUCAAAGCAAUUUCGGUCCUGGGCACGGAGAUGUGUGUUCAGUGUGACAUCGUUUCACCAGGGAUAAAUUUGGCCCCAUCUCUCCAAUUUUAGUGUAAGAUUUAUUGUUGGUCAGUGCUCAGCCAUGAAAAAGGUUGUGAAAAAGGCUGGAAAUGCAUAUUUCUAACCCCAGUGCAGUCAAAAUUGUUUUGACUAAGCCUCACUACCAUUCUCUACAGAAGCGCUGCGAUACUGUUCACUGGGAAUAUCUCAGUGUCGUCUCCCAGCUGUAAUUACAGCAUUAAUCACAGGCAGAGUGAAGCAGCGCCAGCCUGAGUGCCCUGUCUCACGGGCUGCACAGGCGGCUAGCGGCGGGGCCGAGUCCACCUCUCCCUCCUAGGAUGCUCAAGUGAUGGUGGCCUGUUCCCAGCCCAGGUUUCCCUCAACAUACGGGUACAAGUCACCUGAGUGCUACAACAGCUCAUUCAUCUCCCACCGACAUAGGAGGGAGGGAAACGAGACUGCGCAGGCACCCGUGCAAAGUGUUUCCAUCCAGCUCUGCCUUGCUGAGUGCUGAGUAAUAUCUAUGGAAGUUUUAUGACUGCCAAUAAUACAUGCUAUUGAUAUUGCAGGCUACGGUUCCUGGAAAAGCCAGUUUGAUACAGAAAGAGGAAGACAGUGCCGUGCACACAGCCCAGUUCACCUUAAAUACUGAUUUGAUUCAACUGGGCUGUUCAAACCAUUCCCGUUUCCCAAAGAUGGGCCCUUCCUGAGAAGGAAGACCAUGAACACGGAAUAUUAAAAUGUACCAGUAUGGAGCUGAGCUACACAUAGUGAGGAGUCCUUUUGCACCUUCCGGAAAAUUUACUUCUACCUGUAAAAAAACCCUGACAAUAAUGCCAGUCCAAGUGAAAGCACUGCUGCUGUAUCAUGCUAAAAGCUUUUCAGGGUAGAACAGUAAAUAAAUUCCACUCUUCAGAUGUAUCUGGAUGUUAUCCUAACAGUGCCGAGUAAUAGGCAAGCCAUCAACAGCUAAAAGGCUGGGAAUUGUCACAGAGGGACAACAGAGGAGCGAUAUCUGCAGCAGAGAUUGAACACCAGCAGUAAUUGUGCACAUCCCGCUGCUGAGCUCUGGCACUGCGGGCGGUGGGGAAGGAGCUGGACUUGCCCCAUGGCACAGAGCCUUUUGGCACAAGGAGCUGGGCCCUCCUGCCACCCAGACCCCUGCAGCCACCUGUUGGAGAUCUGUCUGGGGAUGGGACGGGUCUGUGCAGACCCACGGGUGCCACAGACAGAGGCUGACCCAGGGGAGGGGAACAGGACGAGGACACGCUCCUGGGGGACAGCAGAUGCUGGAGGUAGCCACGCCAGUCCCAGAUCCCUCCAUAUAGACAUUGGGUAGCCAGAUCUUCCCAACUGCAUCAACCUCUCAGCUGUCCAAAACACAGUAUCAGAGUUUUCAAUGCACAGUGAGGCAGCGGGUGCAUCCGGGCGCAGAGCCCAGCAGCUGCCCUGGGCAGAACCCGGCUGCGGGCACAGCGAUCCCCGACUGCCCCGUCCCCCCCGCUCCCUGCAGCGCCCGUCUCCCCGCUCAGCACCACAGACAAGCCGGCUGCAGCAGCGCCCACAUCCCCAUGGCACCAAGAGGUGACACUGCACCAUGGUGGCCCCAGCGUCACACCAGCCCUGUGGUGUCUGAGGGCUCCCCAAGUCCCUGCACGGCUGCCCCGGCCGGACUCCCUGCUUCUAUCCCAGAGUUGCUCUGCUGCCCGGAGAGAGCAAUGCCAGCCAGGCUGUUGCCAAGGGCACAGCUAUUUAUUAUGUGCUUCUGUCGAUUAUUUUGGGGUUUAAGUUCAUUUAUUAUGUAUGCAAAAAUGGUAAUACACUGGCAUCUGAAUGUCUUUUAGGCAUACAAUAUCCUUAUUAUUCAAAAUGUUUUUUCCUCCAUAAUUGAAUGGUUUACCUUAUUAUUACUUUAUGUUAAUGACCCUGCAUUUCCAUUUUUCUAUAGGAUGCUUAAUUGUAAGCAAAGUGCAAUCAGAAUCAAAGAUGCCAUCUGUAAUUGACAGCAUCAUAAUAACAGCCAGCAUCGCAGGAACAAAGUACCAAAAUAAAUGGCAGUGGGGAGAAAGCUGCCUCUGAAACACCCAGGAAUCUGCUCUGGGCUGGGACAGAGCCCAUCCACGCAGGAGCCUCCCCCUGAGCAGUGACAGUUUGGGCAUUAACACAGAUAGAGUGCUGUUUAUAUCAGUUUGUACAUUUAAUCAGUUUUUUUUGCAGUUUUCAGCGAGAUGUGAACUAUAUCCCUGUCCAAGGCAUUUGGUUCAAAUCAGCUGAGACAGAGAAUAAUCAAGAUUUAUGAUUCUCAUUCUGACUCGGAUCACACAGUCAGUGCGAUCGGUACAGAAGAGCUUCCUCUCCGAGCCCCAGUGACAGACCUUCACUCUCCCCCGCACAAGUGAUUUAACGUCCAUCUCGGGACCUGUCACAACGUGGCUGCAGCUCCAGAUAACAGCGACUCUGGGCUUCCCCCCUCCCCUCCUGGGCGGCGGCGCUGGGGGCACCACGACCGAGCUGGGGGUUGUUUGGCAGAAAUCAAUAAAAUAGCACUUUGCAAAAUAAAA
Molecule: long non-coding RNA, 6564 nt
Organism: Columba livia (rock pigeon)
Lineage: Eukaryota; Metazoa; Chordata; Aves; Columbiformes; Columbidae
Exons: 9
Source: RefSeq, a predicted model, not a curated record